This 300-nucleotide ribosomal RNA is filed under the name uncultured archaeon. RNAcentral's name for it is "bacterial SSU rRNA". It matches the Rfam family "Bacterial small subunit ribosomal RNA", at positions 495 to 795 of the family's 1533-position model. The record is from RNAcentral.
GGCUAACUACGGCAUAGCAGGACGAGUAUUACUGAGGUGGCUAGGGGUAAGCUGAAGGAGUGGGCGUAAGGGGUGCUGCGGUGGGUCUGUAAGACAGCUGUGAGAGCCCCGGGCGUAACCAAGGAACGGCGUUUGAAGCGACAGGGUUAGAGGGUGUCGGGGGAGGUGGAAUUCCAUGUGUAGCAGUGAAAUGCGUAGAGAGUUGGAAGAACAUCGAGGGCGAAGGCAGCCCCCUGGGCCUACACUGUCGCUCAGGCACGAAAGCAUGGGGAGCGAACAGGAUUAGAUACCCCGGUAGUC